RNAcentral lists this ribosomal RNA (248 nucleotides) under uncultured bacterium. RNAcentral describes it as "partial 16S ribosomal RNA". It matches the Rfam family "Bacterial small subunit ribosomal RNA", at positions 103 to 354 of the family's 1533-position model. The record is from RNAcentral.
CGGGUGAGUAAUAUAUCGGAACGUACCCUGGAGUGGGGGAUAACGUAGCGAAAGUUACGCUAAUACCGCAUACGAUCUAAGGAUGAAAGUGGGGGAUCGCAAGACCUCAUGCUCCUGGAGCGGCCGAUAUCUGAUUAGCUAGUUGGUAGGGUAAAAGCCUACCAAGGCAUCGAUCAGUAGCUGGUCUGAGAGGACGACCAGCCACACUGGAACUGAGACACGGUCCAGACUCCUACGGGAGGCAGCAG